UCGGACGUGGUGCAUGGUGCACACCCGCUGCUUAUUCUGGUGUAGCAAAUCUAGUACGCGGGAAGCCCGGGUUCGACUCACGGCGUCUGAA
This is a non-coding RNA of Mycena epipterygia, 91 nucleotides long. Lineage: Eukaryota; Fungi; Basidiomycota; Agaricomycetes; Agaricales; Mycenaceae. The record is from the annotation of a GenBank genome assembly.